AAGCCAAAUGCACUUUGCCUGGUGGAGAUCCUCCUUGUUAGUUUUAAGCUUUGCAGAUGCUAAAAAAAAAACCUUGGAAUGCUGGCUUUGUUUUUCACUUAACUACAGAAUCCCUCAGAACUGAAGGGAGCUUCACUUCAAAUACAGUUGAUACUAAUAUUGACAAGCUACAAAAAAAAAAACCCAGGUUUUUCCCUCCUCUGUACAAAGUCUUGAAAACUCUUUUAUCCUCUAUGAAUGUGAGAGCUUCACUGAAGAGUUUAAGCCCUGCCCCUACAGAAAGAGGAAGCCAAAGGUGAGGUGUGCAGAUUGCAGGGAAAAUCCUUGCAGAAAUACUGCACAUGUACUUAAAAAUUAAUUUUGAAAAUAUUAAUGUGAAAAGACAAUAUAUUGAAAUUCCAAAGGUUGUGACAGAAACAAAGAUGCUAACUGUGCACUGACCUUGCUAACUUUUAUGAAGGUAAUUCUUGCUGUAUAUUUCUUUCCAUGUAAAUACAAAUCUGAAAAUAAGUCCAUGCUAAUUACUAUUUUUGAGGAAGUCAAAAAACUUAGAUAUUAUUUGUAUUAUAAUGAAAAUGUAGAUUUCUUUGCAGUAUAAUCUACACAAUUGAGUGGAUUUAUAGUAUUGAAGGGCAACAUCCCAUUAAAAAGAAUAAAGGAAGUGUGGGAGGCUAUUCUGAGACACUUAAAAUGGAAGCUCAACGAGACCGCUACUGCCAAUAUAUCCCACAAUGUUCUGCCAGUAAAAGGAAGAUAAAAUCUGUCUUAGCAUUUAACAGGAAUGAAGCUUUCCAGAUUUUUCUGAGGUUCCACAGGAGCUUUCUUCCAUUCCCCACAAGAUUUAAGUUAGGUGGACCUGAUCCAAGUCUACAAAAAAUCCAACUCCAAGUCUGAGAUCAGACUGAGCCAUCAAAGAAUUCUAUAUGGAUAGGAACACUGACACCUUUAGGUAUAUUAACCCAUCAGUCAGAGCACUGGUAGGAGUACAGAAUGUCAAAGUGAACAUAUGGAAAAGCACACAGCUCCUGCAGCAAUGCAGAGACCUUUUCCUAUGUCCAUUCUCUCAGGGUGAUGCAAACAGAGGGCUGGGAAUGCUGUCCAAUGCACAAGGCAAGGCAAGGACCUCCCAUCUGAGUGUAAGAACAGCUACACUGGUUUGUUGUCAGACUCAGGACUCUGAAAGUUGGUGUGUGAAACCUGGAAAGAAGCAAACUUCUUUGUACAGACUGUGUACACACACAGAGCAGGCAUGUACAUAGGUGUGAAGUCACUUCUUUCUAAAUGGUUUUCAGAAUUUCAGUUUGCAGACUACUGAGCGUUUUCUACAAGUGGACCAGACCCUCAUAUUGCACACUUUUGUUGUUGUUUACAGUUAGAGAUUGAUUUCUUUCCUGGUUUUCCUUAUAGAAGUACUAGUCCUGGCUCAAGAGCUCUGCACUGUAUAACAGCUCGACCUCCAUGUCCCAUUGUAUUUAAAAUUCUCUAAACAAUUUAUUGAGGAAAAAGUAAGUUGUGAUAUGUCAGUGCAGCUGGAACUAGACUGCUGAGGCCAAAAAGUGAGAAAGAAUUCCCAAGCAAGAUAUGGAAACCAUAGGUUUUUUGAUAGAAUUCAUUUGUUAACUGGGUAAAACUGUCUGUUAACAUUUAACAGUCAAUCUGUAAGGAAAGAAGCAAAAAAGAGAGAGAGAAACACAAUAGUAUCUACCUAUUUAAUUCAAGUACUGAGGUAUUGUUUAAGAAAAUUGUCAACAUUGAAUCACACCAUGGAAUUGUUCCCAUAUGAGUUCUGCCUCUAUGAUUGCACAAGAUUUUUAUGUAUAAUACACCUUUUCAGGUGGUUUCAUCUCACCCUUUGGUAUAUACCUUCUUUCCCUUUUCCUACUUUGAAAACAUGCAUUAGUUAUCAAGCCAGCCUUUUUCCUUUACCAGCAUUUGCCAGUCUGCAAAAACUCUUUUCUUGAACUAAUUUUGUGUAAGUUUUUCCCUUUUUUUCUUUUGAGAAAAAAUUAGUUUUACUUUUUGCAAGUACAAAUAUUUCCCUUUGGCUGUGAUGGUUUUUUUUUGUUUUCAUUUUGUAUUCUAUUUCACAAAUCUGCAACAUCUUGAUCUUAUUUUACUGGUAGGAGUCUUGACACCUAAACCCAACUUUGUGAUUUUUUUACAGUCACUGCUAGAAGAUAUAGAGACUUUUCAUUUGUAUUUUUAAACAAAUUGUAUUUAUAUUAAAAAUUGCCUGACUUCCAAACAAAAAUAAUUGUGAAGAAUUAUUCACUUUCUUUUAUCUAAAACACUCCUGUGAAUUGAAAAGUUUCCAAAAUGUUAUGAAAAUGUGCAUAAAGUUAUUGAAAUUUGUCACUUUAGACAUUUAGCAUUUAGAGAGUAUUGCAGAGGAUCUUAAGACAUCUUUAUAUUUUUUAAAACUUUCCACAAUCCUUACCAUUAUAUAUCUUCAUUCUGGUUUUCUUGGUUUUUUUCAAAUGUCUGGGGUUUUCAAGGGUAUAACUGGCUAGAUUUUGAAUUCUGUAUCAGUGUAAUAAUU
Cyanistes caeruleus (blue tit) is the source of this 2539-nucleotide non-coding RNA. Lineage: Eukaryota; Metazoa; Chordata; Aves; Passeriformes; Paridae. The record is from RefSeq and is a predicted model, not a curated record.